Molecule: long non-coding RNA, 6921 nt
Organism: Pongo pygmaeus (Bornean orangutan)
Lineage: Eukaryota; Metazoa; Chordata; Mammalia; Primates; Hominidae
Exons: 6
Source: RefSeq, a predicted model, not a curated record
GAGAUGUUAGGCACUUGCAGAGACUCAGUCCACUACCCUGGGCAGCUUUUCCAAGAUGUAGGGACUGGCUUGCCAUAAUUCAUAGCUUCUGCUGUCCCUUGCUACAUACCUGAUUGCAACAUCUGCUUAUAGGCUCAAAAUAAAGGGAUGGAGAAAAAUCGACCAAGCAAAUGGAAAACAGAAAAGAGCAACUUGCUUCCUGAAAAUUCAUGGUUUAAGAUAACCAGGACCUUUAUGAUAGACGGUGGUGGAUUUGGAAACAGGUCUGAUCCCUUGGGAUGGAGGAAGCCCAAUUCAUGAAGUAGAGAACUCUUUCAAGGAGAGAUUGGAUUUCCUAUUAACAUGAAAAGCAGUAUGUUUCAGGCUUUGUAUUAAGUAUCAAAGAUCCCAUGACAAGACAGCUCCCCUGCUUGCUGGGAGGACGUGGUGAGGACAGGGUACAUCUGAAACCUCUGGUGUGUCUGGCAGAGUUGCAAACGACUAGAUUCCAUCCAAGAUCAAAUGAAUCAGAAUCUGUGAUGGCCAAAUAGGAACAGUUCUCAUCUGUAGCUUCAAGCUUGAUCGACGCAGAAGACAGUUGAUUUCUGCAUUUCCAACUGAGGUACCUGGUUCAUCUCACUGAGACUGGUCGGAAAGUGGGUGCAGCCCAUGGAAGCUUCCACUGGUGAUACCCAGGAAAACAGGGUCUAGAGUGGACCUCCAGCAAACUCCAACAGACCUGCAGCUGAGGGACCUGACUGUUAGAAGGAAAACUAACAAACAGAAAGGAAUAGUAUCAACAUCAACAAAAAGGAUAUCCACAACAAAACCCAUCUGUAGGUCACAAUCAUCAAAGUCCAAAGGUAGAUACAACAACAAAGAUGGGGAGAAACUAGAGCAGAAAAGCUGAAAACUCUAAAAACCAGAAUGCCCCUUCUCCUCCAAAGGAUCGCAGCUCCCUGCCAGCAAUGGAACAAAGCAGGACAGAGAAUGACUUUGAUGAGUUGACAGAAGUAGGCCUCAGAAAGUCGGUAAUAACAAACUUCUCCGAGCUAAAGGAAGAUGUUUGAACCCAUCACAAGGAAGCUAAAAAACUUGAAAAAAGAUUAGAUGAAUGGCUAACUAGAAUAAACAGUGUAGAGAAGACCUUAAAUGAUGUGAUGGAGCUGAAAACCAUGGCAAAAGAACUAUGUGAUGCAUGCACAAUCUUCAGUAGCCAAUUCGAUCAAGUGGAAAAAAGGAUAUCAGUGAUUGAAGAUCAGAUUAAUGAAAUGAAGUGAGAAGAAAAAUUUAGAGAAAAAAGAGUGAAAAGAAAUGAACAAAGCCUCCAAGAAAUAUGGGAAUAUGUGAAAAGAACAAAUCUAUGUUUGAUUGGUGUACCUGAAAGUGACAGGGAGAAUGGAACCAAGUUGGAAAACACUCUUCAGGAUAUUAUCCAGGACACCUUCCCCAACCUAGCAAGGCAGGCCAAUAUUCAAAUUCAGGAAAUACAGAGAUCACCUCAAACAUACUCCCUGAGAAGAGCAACCCCAAGACACAUAAAUGUCAGAUUCACCAAGGUUGAAAUUAGGAAAAAAUGCUAAGGGCAGCCAGAGAGAAAGGUUAGGUUACCCACAAAGGGAAUCCCAUCAGACUAACAGUGGAUCUCUCGGCAGAAACCCUACAAGCCAGAAGACAGUGGGGGCCAGUAUUCAACAUUCUUAAAGAAAAGAAUUUUCAACCCAGAAUUUCAUAUCCAGCCAAACUAAGCUUCAUAAGUGAAGGAUAAAUAAAAUACUUUACAGACAAGCAAACACUGAGAGAUUUUGUCACCACCAGGCCUGCCUUACAAGAGCUCCUGAAGGAAGCACUAAACAUGGAAAGGAACAACUGGUACCAGCCACUGCAAAAACAUGCCAAAUUGUAAAGACCAUCAAGGCUAAGAAGAAACUGCAUCAACUAAUGGGCAAAAUAUCAUAAUAACAGGAUCAACUUCACACAUAACAAUAUUAACCUUAAACGUAAAAGGGCUAAAUGCCCCAAUUAAAAGACACAGACUGGCAAAUUGGAUAAAGAAUCAAGACCCAUCAGUGUGCUGUAUUCAGGAGACCCAUCUCACUUGCAGAGACACACAUAGGCUCAAAAUAAAGGGAUGGAGGAAGAUCUACCAAGCAAACGGAAAGCAAAAAAAAAAAAGCAGGGGUUGCCAUCCUCCUCUCUGAUAAAAUAGACUUCAAACCAACAAAGAUCAAAAGAGACAAAGAAGGCCAUUACAUAAUGGUAAAGGGAUCAAUUCAGCAAGAAGAGCUAACUAUACUAAAUAUAUUUGCACCCAAUACAGGAGCACUCAGAUUCAUAAAGCAAGUCCUGAGAGACCUACAAAGAGACUUAGACUCCCACACAAUAAUAAUGGGAGAUUUUAACACCCCACUAUCAAUAUUAGACAGAUCAAUGAGACAGCAGAUUAACAAGGAUAUCCAGGACUUGAACUCAGCUCUGCACCAAAGAGACCUGAUAGACAUCUACAGAACUCUCCACCCCAAAUCAACAGAAAAUACAUUCUUCUCAGCACCACAUCACACUUAUUCCAAAAUUGACCACAUAGAUGGAAGUAAAGCACUCUUCAGCAAAUGUAAAAGAAUAGAAAUCAUAACAAACUGUCUCUCAGACCACAGUGCAAUCAAAUUAGAACUCAAGAUUAAGAAACUCACUCAAAACCGCAAACUACAUGGAAACUGAACAACCUGCUCCUGAAUGACUACUGGGUAAAUAACGAAAUGAAGGCAGAAAUAAAGAUGUUCUUUGAAACCAAUGAGAACAAAGACACAAUGUACCAGAAUCUCUCUGACACAUUCAAAGCAGUAUGUAGAGGGAAAUUUAUAGCACUAAACGCCCACAAGAGAAAGUAGGAAAGAUCUAAAAUGAACACCCUAACAUCACAAUUAAAAGAACUAGAGAAGCAAGAAGAAACAAAUUCAAAAGCUAGCAGAAGGCAAGAAAUAAUUAAGAUCAGAGCAGAACUGAAGGAGAUAGAGACACAAAAAACCCUUCAAAAAAUUAAUGAAUCCAGGAGCUGGUUUUCUGAAAUGGUCAACAAAAUUGAUAGAUGGCUCUCAAGACUAAUAAGAAAAGAGAGAAGAAUCAAAUAGAUGCAAUAAAAAAUGAUAAAGAGGAUAUCACCACCGAUCCCACAGAAAUACAAAGUACCAUCAGAGAAUACUAUAAACACCUCUAUGCAAAUAAACUAGAAAAUCUAGAAAAAAUGGAUAAAUUCCUGCACACCUACACCUUCCCAAGACUAAACCAGGAAGAAGUUGAAUCCCUGAAUAGACCAAUAACAGGCUCUGAAAUUGAGGCAAUAAUUAAUAGCCUACCAACCAAAAAACGUCCCGGACCAGAUGGAUUCACAGCCUAAUUCUACCAGAGGUACAAACAGGAGCUGGUACCAUUCCUUCUGAAACUAUUCCAAUCAAUAGAAGAAGAGGGAAUCCUCCCUAACUCAUUUUAUGAGGCCAGCAUCAUCCUGAUACCAAAGCCUAGCAGAGACACAACAAAAAAAGAGAAUUUUAGACCAAUAUCCCUGAUGGACAUCUAUGUGAAAAUCCUCAGUAAAAUACUGGUGAACCAAAUCCAGCAACACAUCAAAAAGCUUAUCCACCAAGAUCAAGUCAGCUUUACCCUGCGAUGCAAAGCUGGUUCAACAUAUGCAAAUCAGUAAAUGUAAUCCAUCACAUAAACAGAACCAAUGACAAAAACCACAGGAUUAUCUCGCAGAAAAGGCCUUCAACAAAAUUUAACAGCCCAUCAUGUUAAAAACUCUCAAAAAACUGGGUAUUGAUGGAACAUAUCUCAAAAUAAUAAGAGCUAUUUAUGACAAACCCACAGCCAGCAUCAUACUGAAUGGGCAAAAACAGGAAGGAUUCUUUUUGAAAACUGGCACAAGACAGGGAUGCCCUCUCUCACCACUUCUAUUCAACACAGUGUUGGAAGUUCUGGCCAGGGCAAUUAGGCAAGAGAAAGAAAUAAAGGAUAUUCAAUUAGGAAAAGGGGAAGUCAAAUUGUCCCUGUUUGCAGAUGACAUGAUUGUAUAUUUAGAAAACCCCAUCGUCUCAGCCCAAAAUCUCCGUAAGCUGAUAAGCAACUUCAGCAAAGUCUCAGGAUGUAAAAUCAAUAUGCAAAAAUCUCAAGCCUUCUUAUACACCAAUAACAGACAAACAGAGAGCCAAAUCAUGAGUGAACUCCCAUUCACAAUUGCUACAAAGAGAACAAAAUACCUAGGAAUCCAACUUACAAGGGAUGUGAAGGACCUCUUCAAGGAGAACUACAAACCACUGGUCAACAAAAUAAAAGAGAACACAAACAAAUGGAAGAACAUUCCAUGCUCAUGGAUAGGAAGAAUCAAUAUUGUGAAAAUGGCCAUACUGCCCAAGGUAAUUUAUAGAUUCAAUGCCAUCCCCAUCAAGCUACCAAUGACUUUCUUCACAGAAUUGGAAAAAACCUACUUUAAAGUUCAUAUGGAACCAAAAAAAAAAAAAAGCCUUCAUUGCCAAGAUAAUCCUAAGCCAAAAGAACAAAGCUGGAGGCAUCAUGCUACCUGACUUCAAACUAUACUACAAGGCGACAGUAACCAAAACAGCAUGGUACUGGUACCAAAACAGAUAACUAGACCAAUGGAACAGAACAGAGGCCUCAGAAAUAACACCACACAUCUACAACCAGCUGAUCUUUGACAAACCUGAGAAAAACAAGAAAUGGGGAAAGGAUUCCCUAUUUAAUAAAUGGUGCUGGGAAAACUGGCUAGCCAUAUGUAGAAAGAUGAGACUGGAUCCCUUCCUCACACCUUAUACAAAAAUUAAUUCAAGAUGGAUUAAAGACUUAAAUGUUAGACCUAAAACCAUGAAAACCCUAGGAGAAAACCUAGGCAAUACCAUUCAGGCCAUAGGCAUUGGUAAGGACUUCAGGACUAAAACACCAAAAGCAGUGGCAACAAAAGCCUAAAUAGACAAAUGGGAUCUAAUUAAACUAAAGAGCUUCUACACAGAAAAAGAAACUACCAUCAGAGUGAACAGGCAACUUACAGAAUGGGAGAAAAUUUUUGCAAUCUACCCAUCUGACAAAGGGCUAAUAUCCAGAAUCUACAAAAAACUUAAACAAAUUUAUGAGAAAAAAAUCAAACAACCCCAUCAAAAAGUGGGCAAAGGAUUUGAAUGGACACUUUUCAAAAGAAGACAUUUAUGCAGCCAACAGACACAUGAAAAAAUGCUCAUCAUUGGUUAUCAGAGAAAUGCAAAUCAAAACCACAAUGAGAUACCAUCUCACACCAGUUAGAAUGGUGAUCUUUAAAGUCAGGAAACAACAGGUGCUGGAGAGGAUGUGGAGUAACAGAAAUGCUUUUACACUGUUGGUGAGAAUAUAAACUAGUUCAACCAUUGUGUAAGACAGUGUGGUGAUUCCUCAAGGAUCUAGAAUUAGAAAUACCAUUUGACCCAGCCAUCCCAUUACUGGGUAAAUACCCAGAUGAUUAUAAAUCAUUCUACUAUAAAGACACAUGCACACGUAUGUUUAUUGCAGCACUAUUCACAAUAGCAGACUUGGAACCAACCCAAACGUCCAUCAGUGAUAGAAUGGAUUAAGAAAAUGUGGCACAUAUACACCAUGAAAUACUAUGCAGCCAUAAAAAAGGAAGAGUUCAUGUCCUUUGUAGCGACAUGGAUGAAGCUGGAAACCAUCAUUCUGAGCAAACUAUCGCAAGGAUAGAAAACCAAACACUGCAUGUUCUCACUCACAGGUGGGAACUGAACAAUGAGAACGCUUGGACACAGGGUGGGAAACAUCACAUACUGGGGCUUGUCAUGGGGUGGGGCAAUGGGAGAGGGAUAGCAUUGGGAGAAAUACCUAAUGUAAAUGACGAGUUAAUGGGUGCAGCAAACCAACCUGGCACAUGUAUACAUAUGUAACAAACCUGCACGUUGUGCACAUGUACCCUAGAACUUAACGUACAAUUAAAAAAAUAAAACCAAAAAUAAAAUUUAAAAAAGCUGAGCUUUAAUUGUCUUUCAAUCUAAAUGCAAAUUUUAUUUUAGUCAAUUCCAUGUUGGCAAUCUGAUUUUUAUUUUUAAAGUUCAAAAGUGUUCUUGUUUUAUUUGCAAGGCAUUUAUAGAACUUCCCUGCUUCUCUGAAAAUGCAACCCUCCUCCUGUCACUUGGCUUAAUGCUCCACACAUGUUUUCUCACUUAAACUUUGCCUCAUUUGGCUGUGUGUGUGUGUGUGUGUGUGUGUGUGUGUGUGUCUUAAAUGCAGCCUUUUAAAACCAUCUCUAAUGGAAAAAUGCAGCUGUGAGCAAGAUUUCAUAAAAUGUACAUGGAAUUAAUUUUCCAGGCAUUUCAUUCAAGGGCCCUGAUGUAUCUGAAGGAGAGAUUUUGCCAAAAGGAGUUUUAAUGUAACCAUAGGAAAGAGAGAAACAGCCAGAAAAGAAGGUUAGGGAAGUAAGCAAACCCCUGAAGCACAAAGAAGAGAAGAAAUGGCAAGGAGGAAAAAAAGAAGAGGAGGCAAAGAAAUUAAUGUUAAAGAUGGAGCAAAAAUAAGAAAAAAAAAAACAUUCUAUGAGAGGGAAGAAGAAAAAGGAAAAAGAGUGGAAGCAAGAGUUGGAGGAAUGAAGAAUCUUGCUAGAGAGAAAAAAAAAUGUUAUUUCCUAAUAGUUUCUAUUAGGACAUUUGCUUAAACAGAUCAAUAUCUCGGACUCUGUCACUUCAAAGUAUAUUUUACAUGAGAUCAGUGAAUUUUAUGGUCUAUAAAUAUAAACAAAUUACAGUUUAAAAAGCAUAUUUAAAAAUAUUUUAAAUAUUACUGUUGUGAAUUUUUUAAUAAACAACUUCCACUGGCCACAUAUUGUGUGUUUAUAGACACUAUAAGGUUAAAACCUGAAACUAUGAUGUUUGAACUUCCUAAUGCACAGCUGCUGAG